UCUUCUUCUUCUCGCACACGCACGAACACACACGAUCUCUCUCUCUCUCUCUCUCUCUUUCAGUCUUCCUGCCUUUUUUCGUCUUUUCAUGUGUUGUCGCUCUCUCUAUCCCAAUCGAACGACGGAUAGUCCUCCACGUCCUCGUCGUCUUCGUCGUCUCAUUCUCUCCAACUUAUAACUGCCUCGUCCGCCUCUCCACCUUUUUCUGCUUCUUCUGGUUUUAGGGUUUUCAGAGAUGCGAGAGAAGGGUCUAGCCAUCGAUGUCUCCGUUAGUUCCGUGCUUAUCUCUGGAUCGAGGUUCGUUUUCCGGUUGAAGAUCUGAACUUCCUCUGUUCGUUGUCGACCGUGUAGCUCUUCGAGUGUCGAAUUAGGUUUUUUAUUGGAUUUUGCUUAUGUAGAGGUUGAUCAGUCGAGUUUGGUUAGAAGGCCAAGAACUGUUAUACUGUUGCAGAGACUGCUGCUCUCGUUUUUUGUGCUUCAUUUAUGGCGAUUGUAAAGAAUAACUUUAGGGUUUCGAAAUUGGAUGGAGAGUUUUCUCCUGUGAGUAGAGACAGUAUGUCGACUGAUGAGGAUGAACUUCGCAAGCGAAGCUCUACGUCAGAAUCUGAUAAUGAUGAUGAUGAAGACGAAGACGGUGUGGACUCUGGAGCUGGUUCUGACGACUUCGAUAUGUCAGAAUUGGGGGAAAUUGGGGAAGAAUCUUGUCAACUUGGUGGCGGUAACUGUAGUAUUCCAUACGAGCUCUAUGAUCUUCCGGAUUUGGGGGAAAUUCUCACAUUGGAUGCGUGGAACAAUUGCUUGACUGAGGAGGAUCGUUUUUCCCUUGCGGAAUAUCUUCCUGAUAUGGACCAGGAGACCUUUAUGCGUACAUUGAAAGAGCUCUUCUCUGGCAACAACUUCCAUUUUGGAAGCCCAGUGGCCAUGCUCUUUGAUAUGUUGAAGGAGGGACUAUGUGAACCCAGAGUAACACUUUACAGGCAGGGUUUGAAUUUCUUCCAGAAGCGGGAACACUACCACCUUCUGCGCAAGUAUCAGAACUCUAUGGUCGGUAAUCUUAUUCAGAUAAAGGAUGCAUGGGAAAAUUGUGCAGGAUACAGCAUUGAAGAGAGGCUUCGUGUUUUGAACAUAAUGAGAAGUCAGAGAAGUCUGAUGUAUGAAAAGAUGGAAGCCAGGGGAUUGGAGACUGAUACUUCAGACAGGGACGAAUCUGGUGAGGGUUUCUGGGGCAAGAGACUGAAGGACAUGAAGCUCAAGCCAAAGAUAGGUCGUCGUGAUAUAUACUCAGUGAGUCCGACUUUGAAUAAUUCUUCUCGAGGAAGGCCUGUGCCCCUGGAACCUGUAAAAUAUGGAAAGUCAAAUCCAAAAGGAAUUUUGAAGUUUGCUGGGUCGAAGGCCCUUUCUGAGAAAGGGUUUGUGGGGCGCUUUCCUUCAUCUAUUCAGCCUGGCUUGAAAAGUAAAUCUAGGGCUUAUCGUCCGACAUUAGCUCUUCCACGGCAAGAUCAGGUCUCAGGGUAUGAUUCAGAUUCUGCUCCACGGUCAAGGGGACAGAUAAGAGGUGAGGAAGAUGCAGAAGGACCACCCUAUGAAAUGGAUCACCUGAGAGACCGAACGCAUGGCACGACAAUUUCUAAAGUUGGCUCGUUCAAACCGGGAAAGAAAUCCAAAUUGUUCAAAACUGAAGAUGAGUAUGCUGCUGAAAGUUUGAUGGGUUUACCGCUGGCUAUACCAAAUGAUUUACAUUCUCAUGGCAGGGGCAGGAGUUUUAAUCAGAUGGCAGAACUGGAAACAUUGAAAGCUAAACCCAGUGGUGAAAAAUCUUCUUAUAAUUAUUAUUCCCGAGUUGCUGGGACAAAGGCCAAGCAUUCUCAGAAGGUUCAGAAAUCUGCUACCAAAGAUCAGAUGAAGGCUACAAAGGAUCAAUCACAGCAUCUGUUACGAAGAGGAAAUCAAGCUGACUGGUCUGUUGGGAGGGAGUCCAUUCAGCGCAACAAAGUGAAAGAAGAAGCCUUUGAUGUGGAUUAUCCUGUUAAGCAUGAUGAAUGGAGUGUUAAAGGCAAAAGGUGGAAGAUGGGGAAGGAGUUUCAAACUGGUAAAAACAGUGUGGGUCUUGAUCGUAAAGUUAAAUCUCAUAGAACUUUUCCUACCCAGAUGGAUGAUAUGGUAUUCCGUUCUGAUUAUAGAACAAAGGCAUCACUAGAUAAGGUCAAGAAAAAAUCUUCACUAAAUGGAGGACUUAACAUGGAAGAGCUUAGAAGCACCAAUAUGUAUGCCCGAAGUGAGGAAACCGAGUCAGACUCAUCAGAGCAGGUCAGCGAAGAAGAAUUCAACCCUUUGAGAAAUAAGCCAGGGCCAAGGGAUGUGGAGGGUCAUCGGUCUACUUCAACGAAAGCAAUAGCAGAUCCUAAAAAGGGCAUUAAACUUGGGAGGAAAGACAGGGAGUAUGCUGAGGCACUUGAACAGUUGCGUAUGGCAGACGUAGAUGUUUACCCAUCAAAAGGGAAACAAAAAGGUAAGAUACGCAAUUCAAGUUACAUGCACACCAAUGUUACGGGAAUCUCUGAGGAGAGUGGGUAUGCUGGUUUCGCUAAAACUGAUGAUGAUGGGAAAAAAGCUUACAAAUUGGGGAAGAAUGGCCAUGUGCAGGGUGAACCUGGUGAAAGAUUACACCUGCCGUCAUUAAAGGCCUACCCUCCAGAGAGAAAGCAUAAAGGAAAAGUCGAUCAUGAUUAUUCUGUGCCUCGGUCAAAUUACAUGCAUGAUUACAUUAAUGAGGAGAAAAACAAUUUGCAUCUAAAACAGAGGUUGGUGUCUGAUCAUGGAUUAACCAAUAAGUUAGGGAAGAAAGGUCAAAACUCUAAAGCUCAUUUAAGUGAUCGUCAUGAAAGAUCAAAUUUGUCUUUGUUAGGCUGCAACUCCAAGAAGCGGAAGGGCAAAACUGAUGUGAAAUACAUGGAUGGACCAAAUGAAUCUGAUCAAAUGCAGUCUAGUCCUCAACAGCAGGUUGAAGAUCCGACAUCCUUGAAGAAACGUGGAAAACGGAAAGUGGAGGCUGAAACAGAUUCUUUGGCUAUUCAAAAUUCUGAGCCACUGGUUUCGGAAAGGGGGGCUAUGGAUGUAGAGGCAGAUGUAAAACCACCAAAGAAGCCAUUUACUUUGAUCACACCAACUGUUCACACUGGCUUCUCUUUCUCCAUUAUACAUCUUCUUUCUGCAGUUCGCAUGGCAAUGAUUACUCGUAAUGCCGAAGAUAGCUCAGAGCUUGACAACCAUCUUAGCAGGACUGAUGGAAGACGUAAAUCUAAUAAUGAAGAGCAGAGCAGAAAGCAUGAAAGAACUAAUGUGGAUACGAAUAAUUCAGAACUUGUGGUACAGAAGACCUUGCCCUCUCUCACUGUUCAAGAGAUUGUCAACCGUGUGAGAUCAAACCCUGGAGAUCCUUGUAUUCUUGAAACACAGGAGCCACUGCAGGAUUUGGUCAGAGGAGUACUGAAGGUUUUUUCAUCCAAAACAGCCCCUUUGGGAGCAAAGGGUUGGAAGCCGCUUGUCUGCUAUGAAAAAUCAACAAAAAGUUGGUCCUGGAUUGGACCGCAUACUGAUAGCUCAUCAGACCUUGAGGCUGCUGAAGAAGAAACAUCUUCUGAGGCUUGGGCUCUUCCUCACAAGAUGCUUGUGAAGUUGGUUGAUUCGUUUGCUAACUGGCUGAAAAGCGGUCAGGAAACUCUUCAGCAAAUAGGAAGCCUUCCUGCUCCCCCUGUGACAUUAAUGCAGCCAAACUUGGAUGAGAAGGAGAGGUUUAGAGAUCUACGAGCUCAGAAGAGUCUCACCACUAUCAGCCCAAGCUCUGAAGAAGUGAGGGCUUACUUUCGGAAGGAGGAACUUCUUAGGUACUCUGUUCCAGACAGGGCCUUUUCAUACACUGCUGCUGAUGGUAGAAAAUCUAUUGUUGCUCCUCUGAGAAGGUGUGGUGGUAAGCCAACAUCCAAAGCCCGGGAUCAUUUUAUGCUUAAGCCUGAUCGGCCACCUCAUGUUACGAUUCUCUGUCUUGUGAGGGAUGCAGCUGCCCGGUUGCCUGGAAGUAUUGGCACCCGAGCAGAUGUUUGUACCCUGAUAAGAGAUUCACAGUACAUAGUGGAAAAUGUCUCUGAUGCACAAAUUAACCAAGUUGUUAGUGGAGCCCUGGAUCGUCUGCACUAUGAACGUGAUCCUUGUGUGCAAUUUGAUGGAGAUAGGAAGUUAUGGGUUUAUUUACACAGAGAAAGAGAAGAAGAAGAUUUUGAAGAUGAUGGAACCUCAUCUACGAAGAAAUGGAAAAGGCAAAGGAAAGAUGGUACAGAGCAAUUAGACCCUGGGCCGCUGAACAUCUCUUAUCAUGGGUCUGGGGAGCCAAUUGCAGGUGGCCCUGGAUAUGAUUUGGGCUCUGAUCUCAAUGUUGAACCAGCGCCUAUUCAUGAAGGGAGGAGAACAGAGCUUGGAUAUAAUGAUGAUUCUAAGCAAAAAAUAGAGGAUAAUGUUGAGUCCUAUGCUGGCUCUGGACAAGGUGGCAUGCAUCUGGGUUGGGAAGCUCGGGAAAACAAGAUGUUGUGUCAAGAAAAUUCUACAAAUGAAGAUUUUGAUGAUGAAACAUUUAGUAGAGAAAGGCCAUUUGGUCUCUUGAGUGCAGGCUUAUCUUGAAGAAUGUUGAUCCCAUAGUGAAGUACCUGGUUUUCCGGGAUCUGUCCAGGAAUAGAAGUUCAGCGAAUUUACAAGGCAUGAUCAUCUCCAUUUGAGGUGCAUGUGUGUACAUUGGAGAAUGUGUAGUCAAUGCGGAGGUGAAACUCUUCUAUUGGAGCAUACAUGGGAGUUGGAAAGUGAACAGGUCCACCUGUGAGAUGUGCAUCCAAAACUUGCAUAAUAUUAGGCUACUUCCAAAAAGGCAGAGCUCCCACCGUCCAUGUACGACAGGUAGAGGCACUGGUCAUAGGGGUGUUUACAUUGUCAUGAUUUUCUUGUGUCUGGUUGGGUGGUUUACCUGCUUUUCUAUAUGAUAGAUUUAAUCUUCAAACUGCAAUUAGGUCUCGGGCAUGGCAACUAAACAUUCUUUUA
Molecule: RNA transcript, 5082 nt
Organism: Telopea speciosissima
Lineage: Eukaryota; Viridiplantae; Streptophyta; Magnoliopsida; Proteales; Proteaceae
Exons: 4
Source: RefSeq, a predicted model, not a curated record